Molecule: ribosomal RNA, 522 nt
Filed under: Triticum aestivum (bread wheat)
Lineage: Eukaryota; Viridiplantae; Streptophyta; Magnoliopsida; Poales; Poaceae
Description: partial small subunit ribosomal RNA
Source: RNAcentral
UUGUCGCAUUUUUGGUAGGGUGAUGACGACAACCAUGGGAGGAUGCAUUGGAUGGCUUGGUAGAAAAUGUGUGUCCCAAAAAACCAAGGUGGUAUGGGAUUUCGUGAUAUCCAUUGUUUUAACCUGGCGUUGCUGGCUAAACAUGCUUGGCGUCUUCUUGAGAACCCAGAUUCUUUAUGUGCCAGGAUAUUGAGAGCCAAAUAUUUUGCUGAUGGAGAUUUAUUGAAUGCAAAGCUUAAGAAGGGGUCUUCCUUCACAUGGCAAAGUAUUAUGUCGGGAGUUAGUACUCUGAAGAAUGGGUACAUUUGGCGAGUUGGAAAUGGUCAGUCCAUUAAUAUUUGGGACGAUGCUUGGAUUCCUAAUUGUGCUACCAGGAAAGUCAUCACUCCAAAGAGGGGUCAUUUGUUGUCAAAGGUGUCGGAUCUUAUUGACCCCACAUCAAACAACUGGCAUGAAGAUCUCGUAAAUCAAACUUUGUGGCCCAUUGAUGCUCAUCGGAUCCUCGCGAUCCCUCUCCCAUAA